UACGGAGGGUGCAAGCGUUAUCCGGAAUCACUGGGCGUAAAGGGCGCGUAGGCGGUCUGUUAAGUCCGAUGUUAAAGGCUGGGGCUCAACCCCAGUAAAGCGUUGGAUACUGGCAGGCUAGACGGUUGGAGAGGCGAGUGGAAUUACCAGUGUAGCGGUGAAAUGCGUAGAUACUGGUAGGAACACCCAUGGCGAAGGCAGCUCGCUGGACAACCCGUGACGCUGAGGCGCGAAAGUGUGGGGAGCAAACCGG
RNAcentral lists this ribosomal RNA (253 nucleotides) under uncultured bacterium. RNAcentral describes it as "partial 16S ribosomal RNA". It matches the Rfam family "Bacterial small subunit ribosomal RNA", at positions 524 to 776 of the family's 1533-position model. RNAcentral also lists the same sequence under 1 other name. The record is from RNAcentral.